ACAAUGCAAUAGUUCAAUAAAGUGAUUAAAAUGCGAAAAAAUGGAUUAUAAAAAAUAGAAACCAGUUAAAGGAUAUUUGGAAGUACCGUUCAUUCAUUUAUGGAAAUGUAUUGAAAUAGAAAUUGAAAUAUUUAAAUUAUGAUCAUUAGGCUAUCAAACAGAAGAUUAUGACUAUAAUUAAAGUUUGUUGUAAACCAGGAUAACAUGACCGCAAACCUUCAACUGACUCAAUCACCGUAAAUGUAUCAGAGCUUUAGGAACCUAUCGAUGUAUCGAAUAGCUUAUCCACCUUGUCAAAAUUCCCAACCUCAUAGAACUUGUCAGCCAAUUCGCUGUGCAAUGGAUUUGAACGAACAGAUUUGAUAUGACAAUAAGCAACGGAAAAACCGUCCAAAGCUUUGGUUAUCAAUACCGCUAGAUUACAAGAAACCAUUGCCUAUCCUUAUUAUUAACGUUAUAUUUCCCUUCGUAACUGAAGUAUCAAUUCCAUCUUCUGGCAAGCUGGCAUCACAGUCCUAUGACCGCUUAUACCAGAUUAAGGAAUAUUUUUCAAUUUAAUCGAGACUGAUAACUGAACCUGCUGUAAGAGAAGAUUGAAAACGAAAUCAUAACCAUGUUAAUUAAACCUCUUAAAGGUGCGAAAUUGGCUGAGUGCUUAAUUUAGAGCUUUAUCAAUGUGCUAUCCAUUCUGCAAUAACUAAAUCAUGAUUAUGUUACAAAUUUGAAAAAAUUUCCUGUGAAAAUCUAAACGAAUGAAAUGACUUCCAAAUUAGAUGAGGAAAUAGCCAUCACAUUGUAAAUUACGCAAAUUACUUGGAUGGGCUUGAAUUCAAUUAAACAACUCUA
Tetranychus urticae (two-spotted spider mite) is the source of this 846-nucleotide non-coding RNA. Lineage: Eukaryota; Metazoa; Arthropoda; Arachnida; Trombidiformes; Tetranychidae. The record is from RefSeq and is a predicted model, not a curated record.